RNAcentral lists this ribosomal RNA (158 nucleotides) under Glomus sp. R14.6. Its description in RNAcentral is "5.8S ribosomal RNA". It matches the Rfam family "5.8S ribosomal RNA". Rfam says of the family: 5.8S ribosomal RNA (5.8S rRNA) is a component of the large subunit of the eukaryotic ribosome. It is transcribed by RNA polymerase I as part of the 45S precursor that also contains 18S and 28S rRNA. Lineage: Eukaryota; Fungi; Glomeromycota; Glomeromycetes; Glomerales; Glomeraceae. The record is from RNAcentral.
UCACUUUCAACAACGGAUCUCUUGGCUCUCGCAUCGAUGAAGAACAUAGCGAAGUGCGAUAAGUAAUGUGAAUUGCAGUAUUCCGUGAAUCAUCGAAUCUUUGAACGCAAAUUGCACUUUCUGGUAUUCCGGAAAGUAUGCCUGUUUGAGGGUCAGUU